GAUAACGCUGGCGGCGCACAUAAGACAUGCAAGUCGAACGGACCUAACCAUUAGUUUACUAUUGGAGCGGUUAGUGGCGGACUGGUGAGUAACACGUAAGCAACCUGCCUAUCAGAGGGGAACAACAGUUAGAAAUGACUGCUAAUACCGCAUAUGCCUAAGUACCACAUGGUACAAUAGGGAAAGGAGCAAUCCGCUGAUAGAUGGGCUUGCGUCUGAUUAGUUAGUUGGUAGGGUAACGGCCUACCAAGACGAUGAUCAGUAGCUGGACUGAGAGGUUGAACGGCCACAUUGGGACUGAGAUACGGCCCAG
This 313-nucleotide ribosomal RNA is filed under the name uncultured bacterium. RNAcentral's name for it is "bacterial SSU rRNA". It matches the Rfam family "Bacterial small subunit ribosomal RNA", at positions 32 to 334 of the family's 1533-position model. The record is from RNAcentral.